Molecule: transfer RNA, 91 nt
Filed under: Camelus bactrianus (Bactrian camel)
Lineage: Eukaryota; Metazoa; Chordata; Mammalia; Artiodactyla; Camelidae
Also listed under: 2 other names
Rfam family: tRNA
About the family: Transfer RNA (tRNA) molecules are approximately 80 nucleotides in length. Their secondary structure includes four short double-helical elements and three loops (D, anti-codon, and T loops).
Source: Rfam by way of RNAcentral
GAGGGUAUAGCUCAGUGGUAGAGCACAUGCUUAGCAUGCAUGAGGAUGCUUAGCAUGCACGAGGUCCUAGGUUCAAUCCUCAGUAACCCUA